This 370-nucleotide long non-coding RNA is filed under the name Bos taurus (domestic cattle). RNAcentral describes it as "long non-coding RNA NONBTAT008052". The record is from RNAcentral. Lineage: Eukaryota; Metazoa; Chordata; Mammalia; Artiodactyla; Bovidae.
GUAAAAUAUUGAACUAGGGAGUUGAACCAUCAGCAGGGCAGGAUUCUAAAUGGAAAGGUUAUGGCUGAAUGACUAAGCAGAAGAGAACACACAACACACCCAAGGAUUCUUGCAGAAAUACAAGUCCCUGGUGGAUCCUGCAGAGAAGAAGAGAGAAGAUGCUGCAGAAUAGCACAGCCAAAGGAGAGCCACCUGGACUCAAUGGGUGCUGUGGCUGGGGAGUAUCCUUCUUGGUGUACACUGGCUGCCGGGGGCUGGACGAAUUUGGCUGGUGAUGUGAAUCUGCCAGUUUUUAGUUGUUAUUGUGAAGAGUCAAUAUUGCUUUUUUCUCUGCCAGGCCCUAAACACCAGAAGUAAAAUGUCUAAUGGU